Long non-coding RNA from Cebus imitator (Panamanian white-faced capuchin), 2125 nucleotides. RefSeq lists it as uncharacterized. NCBI's taxonomy places the organism in Eukaryota, Metazoa, Chordata, Mammalia, Primates, Cebidae. The transcript is spliced from 3 exons. The record is from RefSeq and is a predicted model, not a curated record.
UUUAUUUUUUUUUAAGAGAUGGGGCUUCACAUGUUGCCCAGGCUGGUUUUGAACUCCUGGGCUCAAGUGAUCCAAUACCACCUCAAGAGGUGGUGAGACCCAGUGGUCUAGACAAGCAGCCACAUAGCAAUAUGUUUUUCUCCGUGAUUAAUAUCCAUGUUCGUUUGUUACAAAAUGACAGGCAUGUACAUUUUCUUCUUCAGAGAGGGAGAUUCCCACUUAUCCAUUAAUUACUCAUUUGGUAUCCAUUCCAAACUAUUAAACUUUGCAAAAGCAUGAGGAAAGAAACUUAAGUCAAUGUUUUUAUCAUGUGUUGGUGCCAGCCUCCCAGAGUGGUGCUAAAUUUAUGAAAUUGCAACAAAACAAAAACUCAAACAACCCAACAACAAAAAGCUAUUUAGUGAACACUGUGACUAACAAGCUUAUUAGAAUUGCCUAUCAAAGCCAUGUGUGGAUUUUGUAGGAGGAAAGAUUUUCUUCCCUCCUAGCCAUUUUUCAAAAUAAAAGUAAAAUAUUACCUUUAUGUAUGUGGUAGAUAGAAUUUCAUAGGCUUCAGUUUCAACAUCUCAAAAAUGUUGCUUUUGCUUUCCAUAUCUCAGGAGUCACUUUUAUUUAUUUUGUAGAGCUAGGGUCUCACUCUGUUGCCCAAGCUGGAGUUGCAGUGAUGUGAUCAUAGCUCACUGCAGGCUUGAAUUAUCUCAGCCUCCUGAGUAGCUGGGACUACAGGCACAUACCACCACUCCUGGCUAAUUUUUAAAUUCUUUGUAGACAUAGGAUAUUGCUGUGUUGCUUUGGCUGGCCUUGAACUCUUGGCUUCAAGGGAUCCUUCCAUCUUGGCCUCUCAAAGUGCUGGGAUUGCAGGUAUGAGCCACCAUACCUGCCCAGAAAUCUCUAUUUUAAACCCCAAUUCCACCUGAUAGUAAAAAAAAUGUCAUCAUGGUUUAUUUUGGGUAGACUCGAUCAUUUCAAGAUUCUUGCUCCUCCUUUUCCUGUGAGUAAAACCUGAAGCUCUGACAGGAGCCUGCAAGCCCUGCUGGGAUCUGUCCUCAGUCCCUGUCUGACUCAUCUCCUACUGUCUUGCUCUCACUCCUUCUCCCUGCCCUUCUCUCUGCUCCAGCCAUACCAGGUCCCUUAUUGUUCCUUGUUGAUAUUCACUCAGGAUGGCUGGCAAAAUAUUAGGGAAAUACUAGAGAAAGUUAUAGAUUAUAGUCUCAAACCUUUUGGAAGUCUGAAAGGUUUUAUUGGGCCAGGCCGAAGGUGGCUGGUCCAUUAUGUUAGGGAAAAGAUAGGGAUGAUAAAAGGCUUUCCCAGUUUAAAUCUGUUUACCCCACAUUACUUUGUCUCUAAUUUGUUUGCUUAUGUAAACUUUGUGCUGGAUGGCCCUCUCACGGGGAGGUCAAGGGAAUUACCCAUUAAUAGUGUUUAUUCUGGACCCCUGAACCUAAAGCUUUUACCAUUCAUAAAAGCUCUUUUAACCAUGUUAAUUACCCACAAGCGUGUUAACUUAGAACCUCUGUUGUGAAAUUUAUACUGAAUAAAUGUGAGUAUGUGGAGGGAGUCUUGGUCAAUUGGCUGCAGUUGCCCCCUGAAAGCAGCCAACAACCAUCCCUAGCCCACUUGAAUCACUGAAAUAGGUGUGAGAGUGCAUUUAUUCAUCCGUCAUUGCGUCAGGGUCUGCAGGACAGACCUCCGCAGGUGGUGAUCGACGUCUUAUUCCUGGAAGACACCAGGCAUGCUAUGUCUUAGGGGAGAAUGAUUUCACCAAGCAGUUCCCCCCCCACCCAGUAACAUGCGUUUGUCCUGAUUGCUCUUUUCACCUGCUAUGCUGUUCCACAGAUAACCACAGGCAAACUCCGUCAACUCCUUCCAGUCUAUUCAAAUGUCCUAGGAAAAGGAGAAACAGGGCCGCCUGUCGUUUCUGUGGUUUUAUUUUGCCAGUUUAAUUUCUAAUUGACUGUGGAAGCAUCAAGAGAGCUAUAGCUCAAGGCAGUUGAAUGGCCCAGAACUUCACAGGAAUCCCAGGAUCUUGGGUGCCAUGGGUCACGCCUGUAAUUCCAGCACUUUGGGAGCCCGAGGCAGGUGGAUCAUUUGAGAUCAGGAGUUCGAGACCAACUUGGCUGACAUG